This is a long non-coding RNA of Apis mellifera (honey bee), 992 nucleotides long. RefSeq lists it as uncharacterized. The record is from RefSeq and is a predicted model, not a curated record. Lineage: Eukaryota; Metazoa; Arthropoda; Insecta; Hymenoptera; Apidae. The transcript has 2 exons.
UAUAUUAAAUUCUAAUUCUAAUAUUUUUUAUUCUAUAAUUAUUCUAUAAUUACGUAUUAAAUACAUUCGAUUCAAACAAAUCGUUUAUUUUCACUAUAAAAUAUGCCAAUACCACCAAAUAUCGGAUACGAUUCAAAUGUAUCGAAAUAACGUACCGCCAUUGCUUUGCUGUUUCUCAGACGAGUUCAUUAUAACCUGCUCGUCGUAGUUUGUUGAAAUGUCCACACUGUUGGCGAUCAUGUUUCGCGAGUUGUUCGUGAACAGCGUUCGUGCGGACGCGGCAUAAGGUAUUCAUCCUAUGCGGUAUCUAAUUUCGCAGCACUCUGUCCUUGUUCAACCUAUUGUCGACGAGCGAUUCGUAUAGAUGUCGUAUAAGGCUAUUUAUUUUUUACGAUUUAUCAGCAACUUCAGUUCGAUUAAAAUUGUCAAAGAUUCGAAAUACGAACGGAUCGAUCGAAGAUGAACGAAUUGAAAUUGCAAUUCUAAAUUUCACAAGAAUUUAGCUCUCUGGUCUCUGUAUAUGUAUACAAUCGAUAUCCACGAAUCAUAUUCACGAAACGUCAUGCGAAAGAAGGUUAAGUCGCACGCUUCGAAACUGGUAUAUCAAAAGUGGCACAACGGUAAAAAGAGGUUAUGUACUAUACACGCAUCUAAAUGAUAAAUGCAUUUGUAUUUAUCGGUAUCUAUCAACGUUUCAAACGAACAAUAUAAUUCAAGCGAAAUGAUUUAAUCGUAAUUAAAAUCAAUUGGUUGCUGCCUGUUAAUGAGUUGCUUAAAUAGAAUGUUAUUAUCAAAAAAAUUAAUUAACAGGGAUAAUAAUAUAUCUAAAUAGAAAAUUAAUAUACGGAGUGAAUAAAUGAAAAUUCAUGUAUAUUCUUAUAUUCUCUGCUAUUUAAAAUUAUGAUAAAUUAUGUUAAUAACAAUCGUUAAAUCUUUCAAGCAUUAUUUAUAUGAGAUAUUAUCAGAGAAAUUAUACCAAAAAAAAAAAAAGG